CCUACGGGAGGCAGCAGUGAGGAAUAUUGGUCAAUGGACGCAAGUCUGAACCAGCCAUGCCGCGUGCAGGAAGACGGCUCUAUGAGUUGUAAACUGCUUUUGUACGAGGGUAAACGCAGAUACGCGUAUCUGUCUGAAAGUAUCGUACGAAUAAGGAUCGGCUAACUCCGUGCCAGCAGCCGCGGUAAUACGGAGGAGUCAAGCGUUAUCCGGAUUUAUUGGGUUUAAAGGGUGCGUAGGCGGUCGGAUAAGUUAGAGGUGAAAUCCCGAGGCUCAACUUCGGAAUUGCCUCUGAUACUGUUCGUCUAGAGAGUAGUUGCGGUAGGCGGAAUGUAUGGUGUAGCGGUGAAAUGCUUAGAGAUCAUACAGAACACCGAUUGCGAAGGCAGCUUACCAAGCUACUUCUGACGUUGAGGCACGAAAGCGUGGGGAGCAAACAGGAUUAGAUACCCCAGUAGUC
This 460-nucleotide ribosomal RNA is filed under the name uncultured bacterium. RNAcentral describes it as "partial 16S ribosomal RNA". It matches the Rfam family "Bacterial small subunit ribosomal RNA", at positions 338 to 795 of the family's 1533-position model. The record is from RNAcentral.